CACGUUGCAGGGUCACUGCUCACAGCAAAGCUGCAGCACUGCUCCAAGAGGUAUGCUGGCAGUAGGGAGAAGGGAAGGCAGGACAAGAAGCUGACCACAAGAGUGCACUCACGGAAUGAUGUCCUGCAUUGUUUCCUCUGGGUCAUUUCCUUUCCCUCAGCUCUGGAAGCAGCUUGCAGCAUGUGGAGGUCGGGGGGGUCAGACCUGGGCCCACGUGUUGUUUCUCUGGACAUAUAGAUGCCGUGUCCCCCAGGGAGGAAGACGCUGCAGCUGUACAUUGAGUGGGACAUACUUGCAUGAUGAGUACACAGACACGUCACCAGGGACACACGCUGGGGGUACAUCUGAGUGGCACAGGCUUUGCCCACAGGCUGUGCUUGAUGUUGGUAAUGAUUUUCUUCCUUAUAAGGGAUGGCUAUACCUAAAGAGUAUAUCGGAGAUUCUCCCACAGUUUUGUCUUCCUAUAUAAUUGGGUUUUGGGGUUUUUUCCUUCCCUUUUUCCCGUUCCAGUGCUUCUCAACUUCUUUCUGUGACCUUCUAACACCACAGAUCAUUUGUCAAGCAGCCAGUAAUGGCUAAACAGAGGCCCAUUGUAGCAGGCACUUGCAACAAUUUGUUAACAAUAAAUAUGAUGUGAUUAGUAAA
This is a long non-coding RNA of Melospiza melodia melodia, 645 nucleotides long. RefSeq lists it as uncharacterized. The record is from RefSeq and is a predicted model, not a curated record. The transcript is spliced from 2 exons. Lineage: Eukaryota; Metazoa; Chordata; Aves; Passeriformes; Passerellidae.